This 30-nucleotide non-coding RNA is filed under the name Mus musculus (house mouse). Lineage: Eukaryota; Metazoa; Chordata; Mammalia; Rodentia; Muridae. The record is from RNAcentral.
UGGGAAGAAGCAACAAUUGAUGUCCAAGGU